UGAAGUGUUUUUAAAAAAGCUUGAAGUCUUGGAACCCUACUCAAAUAGAAAAUUGUAAUUAAUUCUUUGGGGUUUUAUUUUUCAUUAAUAAUUUUGGCAUGACAUACAUCUACAUUUUAAGGAUUAUAUAUUUGAAUUUCCACAUUAGUUGUUUGAUACAAUGUUUCACUGAGUUGACUAAGUAUAUUUUUUGUUUAAUAAAAAAUUUAAGAUUGGUUGGUUUGGUUUUGUUUGGUCCCAUUAUAUUUUUUUGUUGGGUAAUUUAAUGGAGCGGGUGUAUUGUUGAUUUCAUUUGUCCACGACACUAUUGGUGUAUUUUAGUGUUUGUCUUUGAAUAUUCUGAUGAUGAUUGUGGCUAUAUUUUCUUAGUAUGUCGACUAAUUUUUUUUGGUUUUUUUUCCUUUUAGAUAUCAAGAGUGGUGAGAAUGUUGGUGUUUUGUUUUAUAUUUUGCUGGUGGUUCGUUGUCUUUAUUUUGUGGCAACCAUUACGCACUGUUAAGAUUGUAGUAGCUUUGUGUUGGAACACAGUUAUCUUCAUCUAAUUCUAGUCACCCAUUAGUUUUUCUAAAACUGGAUUCAAUAGAUGAAAAGAUUUUUGGAGAAAUUGUUGAGGCAUUCAUGAGGCGUUCUGAAGAAUUUCAUCCUACUAUUUAGCACGAGGCAACUCAAUUACGCGAGAAGGAAACUAGCUUGUAGCUUGGGGUGCAGAGAAAGAAAAGUCGUUUGAAUAGUUUUGGCAGGAGUGGAAGUUGUAGAAGUAGAGUUGGUGGUUUGAAUGGUAUGAUCGGAAAGGGAAAUUGCAUGGAUGGCAGCCUUAAUGUUUGAAUAUCUUAUGUUUGAAGACUCGAAUCCAGUGUGGUCUAACUUGAUUGUGGAGGUUUUUCCCUCAAUUACAAACGCAAGCAAGUUUGGGGAUUUAUUGAAUCGAAACCGUUUGCUGGCACAAUGUUAGGGUCAUGAGCUUGGCAAAGAUAUUCUUGUAACAUUAGACAUGCUUAAUAAUGAAGAAUGACUGGAAGUUGAAUCUACUCUAGUGUUGGGAAUGGAAGGAGAGAAGCAAUGAUGAUGCUGUUAGGGUGAUAGUAUUAGAUAGAAAUAGUAGUGGCAAUGAUCAAGUAAUAAUAUUGCAUUUUCAUGAUGAGAGAAUGUUGUAUCCUGAGCUUGGUGGAUGUCAUUUGAUUCAGAAUUGUUUGACCUUGUACAACACGAACAUGGUUAUUAAUUAUUAUUUUAUCCUUAAAAAAUAA
Long non-coding RNA from Humulus lupulus (European hop), 1247 nucleotides. RefSeq lists it as uncharacterized. The transcript has 2 exons. The record is from RefSeq and is a predicted model, not a curated record. Lineage: Eukaryota; Viridiplantae; Streptophyta; Magnoliopsida; Rosales; Cannabaceae.